Molecule: unclassified non-coding RNA, 971 nt
Filed under: Leishmania donovani
Lineage: Eukaryota; Euglenozoa; Kinetoplastea; Trypanosomatida; Trypanosomatidae
Description: gene:LdHU3.30.1080(CDS-product:hypothetical_prote in_conserved)
Source: RNAcentral
CUCUCGUGGUGUCGGUGUCGCCGUCUCAGCCUUUCCCGUAUUCAUUAUCGCUUGUGUGGCAGCCGGUAUUGAUUCUCGAGCGCCAUGAAACUUUUUUCUUACCAAAGUAGCGUGUGCGGCACCCUAGUGCUUGCGCUGUGCUUGCUCUACUGCGUUCUCGCUGCGUCAUCGACGCCGGCCCCCACUGAUCUCAUCACUGUUGCCGGGAGGGUGCAUGUGAGGAAUGAGGUUGUUCAGUACGUCGUGGUGCGGGUAGUGGACGACAAGACGGGCGUCGUGGUACGCAGCGCUCCUCUAGAUGCUACGCGCUCGGUUAGUUUUGCAAACAUCGCCUCCUCAGCUGUGUCUCUUGAGGCCACCGUCGAGCUGCCGGACCACUUGUUCGAGCUAGACGCAUCUUCCUCUGUCCUCAAGAGCGCCAUUUCGACUUCCAGCUCCACCACUCCUGUGCAGCUGACAAUUUCCACCAUCAGCAAAGCGGAGGGUGCGGCGCGAAAGGCACCGACUCCUACCGCCGGUAGCAGUGGCGCGUCGGCUGUACUCGCGCUGAUGGCGCUGGUGGCGGGGUGGUACAGCCGUCACAAGAUUGUCAGCGUGCUGGACAUGCCGAGCCUGAGGAUGCCAAAGCCGCGAAAGGUGAUGGGCUCGUUCGCGUCCUCCAAGCGUGCCUCGAUGAGAUGAUCGGUGUUGAGCCGGACCUGCAGCAUGCUGGCGGGCCUCUGUUCGCGGAACUGUCCACGCGCCCGCGUCUCUACCUUCAGGCGAUGAGCGACUUAUGCUAGUAAGGUAAAGCGUACGAAAAAAAAAGACAACCAAGGCCGCAAGUCUUAGCGGCGAGCGAAUGGGAGAGAAGAUAGCGUUGCACCCAUCCUCGCUGCGUGGGUGACACCAGUGAAUCCUUGCUCACAGGGCGAGAAAAGAAAUGUGGGCAGUACACUGGACGCCACGUCGCAUCUUUUUAUUUCGCCCGC